GACAAUAAUUCCUCCAAGAAGAGUAGUUGGGUCCUUCCCAUUCUGGAAAAUUCCAAAGCAGUAUGCCCCACGCACCUUUGAGUGCCUGAAUAAGUAGUUUUCAGGUGUGAGAGAUAGUUUCUUUCCAUUGCUGAACACCAUGUCAACAGAGGGAAAUGAUUUUGAAAGUUGUGACACGUCACUUUCAGCACCAGAAAAGCAUAUAUCUCUAUAGUUCGGG
RNAcentral lists this unclassified non-coding RNA (220 nucleotides) under Hevea brasiliensis (rubber tree). Lineage: Eukaryota; Viridiplantae; Streptophyta; Magnoliopsida; Malpighiales; Euphorbiaceae. The record is from RNAcentral.